GCCGGGGUGGUGAAAUUGGUAUACACGUGGCACUCAAAAUGCCAUGGGCGCAAGUCCGUGGGAGUUCGAGUCUCCCCCUCGGCACAA
This 87-nucleotide transfer RNA is filed under the name Candidatus Portnoybacteria bacterium RIFCSPLOWO2_02_FULL_39_11. Its description in RNAcentral is "tRNA-Leu". It matches the Rfam family "tRNA". From Rfam's summary of the family: Transfer RNA (tRNA) molecules are approximately 80 nucleotides in length. Lineage: Bacteria; Candidatus Portnoyibacteriota. The record is from RNAcentral.